RNAcentral lists this ribosomal RNA (709 nucleotides) under uncultured bacterium. RNAcentral's name for it is "bacterial SSU rRNA". It matches the Rfam family "Bacterial small subunit ribosomal RNA", at positions 8 to 731 of the family's 1533-position model. The record is from RNAcentral.
AGAGUUUGAUCCUGGCUCAGGACGAACGCUGGCGGCGUGCUUAACACAUGCAAGUCGAACGGAAAGGCCCCUUCGGGGGUACUCGAGUGGCGAACGGGUGAGUAACACGUGGGUGAUCUGCCCUGCACUUCGGGAUAAGCCUGGGAAACUGGGUCUAAUACCGGAUAGGACCCUCCUUUAGUGUGGGGGGUGGAAAGAUUUAUCGGUGCAGGAUGAGCCCGCGGCCUAUCAGCUUGUUGGUGGGGUAAUGGCCUACCAAGGCGUCGACGGGUAGCCGGCCUGAGAGGGUGGACGGCCACAUUGGGACUGAGAUACGGCCCAGACUCCUACGGGAGGCAGCAGUGGGGAAUAUUGCACAAUGGGCGGAAGCCUGAUGCAGCGACGCCGCGUGGGGGAUGACGGCCUUCGGGUUGUAAACCUCUUUCGACAGGGACGAAGUGAAAAUGACGGUACCUGUAUAAGAAGCACCGGCUAACUACGUGCCAGCAGCCGCGGUAAUACGUAGGGUGCGAGCGUUGUCCGGAAUUACUGGGCGUAAAGAGCUCGUAGGUGGUUUGUCACGUCGUCUGUGAAAUUCCGGGGCUUAACCUCGGGGCGUGCAGGCGAUACGGGGCAAUACUUGANUGCUGUAGGGGAGACUGGAAUUCCUGGUGUANCGGUGAAAUGCNCANAUAUCANNAGGAACACCAAUGGCGAAGGCAGGUCUCUG